UCCUUAUCAAGAGAGAUGGAGGGGCUGGCCCGAUGAAGUUUCAGCAACCACUGCGUUUCAUUAGCGUAGAAGGUGCUAAAUCCUGCAAAUUUAGUUUUGAGAGAUGAGGG
This 110-nucleotide non-coding RNA is filed under the name Clostridium oryzae. Its description in RNAcentral is "SAM-I sequence". It matches the Rfam family "SAM riboswitch aptamer (S box leader)". From Rfam's summary of the family: The SAM riboswitch is found upstream of a number of genes which code for proteins involved in methionine or cysteine biosynthesis in Gram-positive bacteria. The SAM riboswitch acts at the level of transcription termination control. Lineage: Bacteria; Bacillati; Bacillota; Clostridia; Eubacteriales; Clostridiaceae. The record is from Rfam by way of RNAcentral.